RNAcentral lists this ribosomal RNA (465 nucleotides) under Vreelandella stevensii. RNAcentral describes it as "partial 16S ribosomal RNA". It matches the Rfam family "Bacterial small subunit ribosomal RNA", at positions 338 to 795 of the family's 1533-position model. Lineage: Bacteria; Pseudomonadati; Pseudomonadota; Gammaproteobacteria; Oceanospirillales; Halomonadaceae. The record is from RNAcentral.
CCUACGGGGGGCUGCAGUGGGGAAUAUUGGACAAUGGGGGGAACCCUGAUCCAGCCAUGCCGCGUGUGUGAAGAAGGCCCUCGGGUUGUAAAGCACUUUCAGUGAGGAAGAACGCCUGGUGGUUAAUACCCAUCAGGAAAGACAUCACUCACAGAAGAAGCACCGGCUAACUCCGUGCCAGCAGCCGCGGUAAUACGGAGGGUGCGAGCGUUAAUCGGAAUUACUGGGCGUAAAGCGCGCGUAGGUGGCUUGAUAAGCCGGUUGUGAAAGCCCCGGGCUCAACCUGGGAACGGCAUCCGGAACUGUCAAGCUAGAGUGCGGGAGAGGAAGGUAGAAUUCCCGGUGUAGCGGUGAAAUGCGUAGAGAUCGGGAGGAAUACCAGUGGCGAAGGCGGCCUUCUGGACUGACACUGACACUGAGGUGCGAAAGCAUGGGUAGCAAACAGGAUUAGAUACCCUAGUAGUC